ACGUGGCAAGCUGCGAUAAGCCCAGGGUAGCCGCAAGUCAGGCUUUGAACCUGGGAUUUCCUUAAUUAUAUGCGCAAGCAUAGGCAAACGCGGGGAACUGAAAUGACUUAGUACCCGCAGGAAAAGAAAGAAUUUUCGAUUCGGCUAGUAACACGAGUGAAAGCCGAAGAGGGCAACCUGAAUCCCGCCUGGCAACAGGUGCGGAGAUGUGGUGCAGGAGGACUCCAAAGCACGAGCUGAAGGUUCUGGAAAGAGCCGCCAAAGAGAGUGACAGCCUCGUAAGUCAAGUGCAAUGGAAUUUACUGUAAUAGAGUAACUCUGCUUGAUUAUGCAGAACGAAUACGGGAGCAUUAAAUCCCAACCCUAAAUAUUGGCUAUAGACCGAUAGCGAACAAGUAGCGUGAGCGAAAGCUGAAAAGAACCCAUACGCAUGGGAUUGAAAAGAUCUGAAACUAGAUGGUAAAACGAAGGUAAGGCAUGGAAGUUAUGAAGUACUGUGAAGCCGAAGGCCGAAAGGCUCAGGCGAACGGCAUGGAACAGUGUCUUAUCAUUCUUCUUGAAGCAAGAGCCAGGGAGUGUAUAGGAGUGGCGAGUCGAAAGACGCAGCGAAAGCGAGUGCGCGCAAUACGUGAGGCGCAGGGUAUGAAAAUGCCUUUAGUCACUUCUAUACGACCCGAAGCCGUUGUGAACUACGCGCGACCAAGGCGAAGCUAGGCUAAUGCCUGGUGGAGGCCUGCAACCUGUCAUGGCAUGUCCUGUUGGGUGAGUUGCGGGUAGCGGCGAUAUACCACUCGAACACGGCAAUAGCGGGUCCCUUCUGAAGUAUCUUUAGGAUAGCUCCGGGCGAGCUUGCACAUGCGGUAGAGCUACCGACUGGUUGGCACGGACUCGAAAGGGUCCACCAACCUAUCAAACUCCGAAUGCAUGUGCUGCGUAGACCCCGGGAGUCGACCAGUUUGGGUAAGCCAGAUUGGUGAGACUGCAAAGAUAGUGACUGAGGUUAAGGUCCCCAAAUCCUGAUUAAGUGUCUUAAAAGUAGGGCAGAUCACAGACAGCUGGGAGGUAGGCUCAGAAGCAGCCAUCCUUCAAAGAGUGCGUAAUAGCUCACCAGUUGAGAUUUGCCUCACUGAAGAUAUACGGGGCUAAAUCAGGUACCGAGACCCCAGAGACUGAAUAAGUCUGGUAAGAAGGCGUGUAGCAUGUCAAGAAGUGCGUUCGAAAGUCCGCAUGGAACAUGUUAUAGGGAAAAUCCUGGUAUAAGUAACAGCAUAUAUAGGUGAGAAUCCUAUACACCGAAAGCACAAGGUUUUCUUCGCAACGCUCGUCAGCGGAGAGUUAGUCGAUCCUAAGCUGAAUGCUAAUCACAAUUCAGCAAAAGGGAAGCAUGCUAAUAUUCAUGCACCUAGAAUGUAGGAGCGGCAACGCAAGGUAGAUUUCUGACGCUUGGGGAUAGGUCCGCAAGGAAGUGCAAAGGGCUGCAGAGUCUCGUUAUGAGGAGAAGCAGCUAAAUGAACUAUGGACUGAAUUCCUGAGCCCGUGAAAAGGGAAUUUGCAACGAUCAUUCUAGCUCGUACCUAGAACCAUUAGAGGUGCUGCUGGCUGAAGAGGCCAAGGUGUGACGGGGUAACCCAUGUUAGGGAAAUCGGCAAAAUAGUGGCGUAAGAUAGCAAGAAGCCAUGUCUGCGUAUAGGAUAUGCAGAUAUCAUUGACUAGGGAACGACAACUGUUUAUCAAAAACACAACUCACCGCAAAGCGGAAACGCUAAGUACAGUGGGUGACGCCUGCUCACCGCCAGUACGUGAAAGCCCUUUUCAAGGGGAAGAAGCGCUGGCAAAGAGCGGGAGUAACUCUGACUCUCUUGAGGUAGCGUAAUACCUCGUCACUUAAUAGGUGACUUGCAUGAAGGGCGUAAUGAUCGUUCCACUGUCCCAACAUGGGGCCCGGUGAACUUACUGCGCGGUGAAUAUGCCGCGAUCUCUCAGUGGGAAAAGAAGUCUCCAUGAAGCUUGACUACAACCUGUAGUUGUUGUUAGAUGGAUUAUGCAUAGCGUAAGUGGGAGCGUAGAAGCGUGCGCUGCGGCGCACGUGGAGCGAAAAUGUAACACCACUCUUAGUUUGUCUUGCAGCUCACUAGCAAUAGGACAGCUGCAGGCGGGUAGUUAGACUGGACGGUUGCUUUCGAUAAGGAAACGAAAGUGACCAAUGCUCUGCUUAGGUGGUUUGGGAAACCACUGUUAAGCGAAAAGGUAAAUGCAGGGCUGACUGUAUCCUUAAAAGCGUGGGAUGCAGACUGGAAACAGGGGCUUAACGAACUUUGGCACCCUUUUUAAUGAGGGUCCAAGCUGUCAAACAAGUUACUCUGGAGGUAACCGAUUUGUCGCCAGUGAGCGUCCACAGCGACCUGGCGGUUUGAUACAUCGAUAUGGGCCUAUGAUAUCCUGGCUGUGCACAAGCAGCCAAGGGUUGGACUGCUCGUCCAUUAAAAUCAUACACGAGCUGAGUUCAGUACGCCGCGAGGCAGUACGGUAUUAUCUACUGGGAGUGUUAGUGUCAGAGGGUAAGCUCCCCUCAAUACGAGAGGAACAGGGGAUCGGCGCCUCUAGUGUACCGGUUGUGAUUGCAUUGCCGGGUAGCCACGCGCCAAGCGGAUAAGUCCUGAAAGCAUCUAAGGACGAAGCCAGACCCGAAACUAGACACUAUGGCGGUCGCAAUAGACGACUUUGAUAGGACGGGUGCGUAAGC
This 2743-nucleotide ribosomal RNA is filed under the name Microcaldota archaeon. RNAcentral describes it as "23S ribosomal RNA". It matches the Rfam family "Archaeal large subunit ribosomal RNA". The record is from RNAcentral. Lineage: Archaea; Nanobdellati; Microcaldota.